Molecule: ribosomal RNA, 589 nt
Filed under: uncultured bacterium
Lineage: Bacteria
Description: bacterial SSU rRNA
Rfam family: Bacterial small subunit ribosomal RNA
Source: RNAcentral
UCUACGGGAGGCAGCAGUGGGGAAUCUUGGUCAAUGGACGCAAGUCUGAACCAGCGACGCCGCGUGAGUGAUGAAGGCCUUCGGGUUGUAAAGCUCUGUGGGGAGAGACGAAAACAGUUCGGUCGAACAGGCCGAGCUCUUGACGGUACCUCCUUAGCAAGCACCGGCUAACUCUGUGCCAGCAGCCGCGGUAAGACAGAGGGUGCGAACGUUGCUCGGAAUUACUGGGCGUAAAGCGCGUGUAGGCGGGCCGACAAGUCAGGUGUGAAAUCCCCGAGCUCAACUCGGGAACUGCACUUGAAACUGUCGGUCUCGAGUGCCGGAGAGGGUGGCGGAAUUCCUGGUGUAGAGGUGAAAUUCGUAGAUAUCAGGAGGAACACCGGUGGCGAAGGCGGCCACCUGGACGGCUACUGACGCUGAGACGCGAAAGCGUGGGGAGCAAACAGGAUUAGAUACCCUGGUAGUCCACGCCGUAAACGAUGAGCGCUAGGUGUCGCGGGUAUUGACCCCCGCGGUGCCGAGGCUAACGCAUUAAGCGCUCCGCCUGGGAAGUACGGUCGCAAGACUAAAACUCAAAGGAAUUGACGGA